CCCAAUUAGAUCUAUAUACACGGAUCAUCUUCUAAGCCGUUGGAUUAUAAUAAAUCAAAGGCUGAGAUUUAAUCGUUUUUUUUCUCCUCACAGGCUCCCUCUCUCUCUCCAGACAGAUUCAUUCUUCUUCUUUUUUUCUUUUUUUGUUUCUUCUUUUCAUCUUCUCUGCUCUCAUCUUUCCCACCGAUUUUGAAGCCUCGAUUUCGUGUCCACGGCCCUGUUAUCUUCCUCAAGCCUCGAUUUCAUCUCUACCGAUGACGCCGAGAUCUAGUUCCGCCAAUACACAAAGCUGUUCAACUUCCCUCUCAUAGUUUCAUUUUUGGAUUUGUCUCUAAGUUCUUCGCAAAGGCAAGACUUGGAUUUGCCUCAAAACUGACUCGAUUGAUGUUUCUCUUUUGCUGAACUUCUCGAUCUCAACAGCCUGAUGAAAAACCUGGUUAUAAAGUUGGUUCAUUUGUCUUAUACU
RNAcentral lists this long non-coding RNA (466 nucleotides) under Brassica napus (rape). RNAcentral's name for it is "long non-coding RNA (BNAP_LNC019818)". Lineage: Eukaryota; Viridiplantae; Streptophyta; Magnoliopsida; Brassicales; Brassicaceae. The record is from RNAcentral.